This 253-nucleotide ribosomal RNA is filed under the name uncultured bacterium. RNAcentral's name for it is "partial 16S ribosomal RNA". It matches the Rfam family "Bacterial small subunit ribosomal RNA", at positions 524 to 774 of the family's 1533-position model. The record is from RNAcentral.
UACGUAGGGUGCGAGCGUUAAUCGGAAUUACUGGGCGUAAAGCGUGCGCAGGCGGUUGUGCAAGACAGAUGUGAAAUCCCCGGGCUUAACCUGGGAACUGCAUUUGUGACUGGCGGGCUAGAGUAUGGCAGAGGGGGGUAGAAUUCCACGUGUAGCAGUGAAAUGCGUAGAGAUGUGGAGGAAUACCGAUGGCGAAGGCAGCCCCCUGGGCCCAAUACUGACGCUCAUGCACGAAAGGCGUGGGGAGCAAACG